GACGAACGCUGGCGGCGUGCUUAACACAUGCAAGUCGAACGGAAAGGCCCUGCUCUUGUGGGGUGCUCGAGUCGCAAACGGGUGAGUAACACGUGAGUAACCUGCCCUUGACUUUGGGAUAACUUCAGGAAACUGUGACUAAUACCGGAUAGGUGCUCCUGCUGCAUGGUGGGGGUUGGAAAGUUUCGGCGGGUGGGGAUGGACUCGCGGCUUAUCAGCUUGUUGGUGGGGUAGUGGCUUACCAAGGCUUCGACGGGUAGGCGGCCUGAGAGGGUGACCAGCCACAUUGGGACUGAGAUACGGCGCAGUCUGGUACGUUAGGCAGUAGUGGGGAAUAUUGUACAAUGGGCGGGAGUGUGAUGCAGCAACGCCGCGGGCGGGAUGACGGCCUUCGGGUUGUGAACCGCUUUCGCCUGUGACGAAGCGUGAGUGACGGUAAUGGGUAAAGAAGCACCGGCUAACUACGUG
This 468-nucleotide ribosomal RNA is filed under the name uncultured bacterium. RNAcentral describes it as "partial 16S ribosomal RNA". It matches the Rfam family "Bacterial small subunit ribosomal RNA", at positions 28 to 507 of the family's 1533-position model. The record is from RNAcentral.